CCUCGGGAGGCAGCAGUGGGGAAUAUUGGACAAUGGGCGCAAGCCUGAUCCAGCCAUGCCGCGUGAGUGAUGAAGGCCCUAGGGUUGUAAAGCUCUUUUGGCGGGGAAGAUAAUGACGGUACCCGCAGAAUAAGCCCCGGCUAACUUCGUGCCAGCAGCCGCGGUAAUACGAAGGGGGCUAGCGUUGCUCGGAAUCACUGGGCGUAAAGCGCACGUAGGCGGAUUCUUAAGUCAGAGGUGAAAGCCUGGAGCUCAACUCCAGAACUGCCUUUGAUACUGGGAGUCUCGAGUUCGGGAGAGGUGAGUGGAACUGCGAGUGUAGAGGUGAAAUUCGUAGAUAUUCGCAAGAACACCAGUGGCGAAGGCGGCUCACUGGCCCGAUACUGACGCUGAGGUGCGAAAGCGUGGGGAGCAAACAGGAUUAGAUACCCGAGUAGUCC
RNAcentral lists this ribosomal RNA (440 nucleotides) under uncultured bacterium. RNAcentral's name for it is "bacterial SSU rRNA". It matches the Rfam family "Bacterial small subunit ribosomal RNA", at positions 339 to 796 of the family's 1533-position model. The record is from RNAcentral.